This 409-nucleotide ribosomal RNA is filed under the name uncultured Curtobacterium sp. RNAcentral describes it as "bacterial SSU rRNA". It matches the Rfam family "Bacterial small subunit ribosomal RNA", at positions 1016 to 1424 of the family's 1533-position model. The record is from RNAcentral. Lineage: Bacteria; Bacillati; Actinomycetota; Actinomycetes; Micrococcales; Microbacteriaceae.
CGCCCGUUGUGGUCGGUGUACAGGUGGUGCUGGUUGUCGUCAGCUCGUGUCGUGAGAUGUUGGGUUAAGUCCCGCAACGAGCGCAACCCUCGUUCUAUGUUGCCAGCGGGUUAUGCCGGGGACUCAUAGGAGACUGCCGGGGUCAACUCGGAGGAAGGUGGGGAUGACGUCAAAUCUCAUGCCCCUUAUGUCUUGGGCUUCACGCAUGCUACAAUGGCCGGUACAAAGGGCUGCGAUACCGUAAGGUGGAGCGAAUCCCAAAAAGCCGGUCUCAGUUCGGAUUGAGGUCUGCAACUCGACCUCAUGAAGUCGGAGUCGCUAGUAAUCGCAGAUCAGCAACGCUGCGGUGAAUACGUUCCCGGGCCUUGUACACACCGCCCGUCAAGUCAUGAAAGUCGGUAACACCCGA